RNAcentral lists this ribosomal RNA (517 nucleotides) under uncultured bacterium. RNAcentral's name for it is "partial 16S ribosomal RNA". It matches the Rfam family "Bacterial small subunit ribosomal RNA", at positions 29 to 523 of the family's 1533-position model. The record is from RNAcentral.
AACGAACGCUGGCGGCGUGGAUAAGACAUGCAAGUCGAACGGGAUUUUUUUCUGUAGCAAUACAGGAAAAAGUCUAGUGGCGAACGGGUGCGUAACACGUGAGCAACCUGCCGUGAAGUGGGGGAUAGCUCGCCGAAAGGCGAAUUAAUACCGCAUGUGGCCAAGGAAGACAUCUUCCUGACGCCAAAGCCGGGGCAACCUGGCGCUUCUCGAGGGGCUCGCGGCCUUUCAGCUUGUUGGUGAGGUAACGGCUCACCAAGGCUAUGACGGGUAGCUGGUCUGAGAGGACGACCAGCCACACUCGAACUGAGACACGGUCCAGACACCUACGGGUGGCAGCAGUCGAGAAUUUUUCACAAUGGGGGAAACCCUGAUGGAGCGACGCCGCGUGGAGGAUGAAGGUUUUCGGAUUGUAAACUCCUGUCAUUAGAGAACAAGGCACACGGUUUAACUGGCCGUGUGUUGAUAGUAUCUGAAGAGGAAGAGACGGCUAACUCUGUGCCAGCAGCCGCAGUAA